Molecule: long non-coding RNA, 2759 nt
Organism: Folsomia candida
Lineage: Eukaryota; Metazoa; Arthropoda; Collembola; Entomobryomorpha; Isotomidae
Exons: 2
Source: RefSeq, a predicted model, not a curated record
ACGCUAUUUAUGGCGUUGUAUGUUAUACGGAAAAGUAGUAAUGGUUACCGUAUACUCUAUUUUAUAGGUGGUUAUAAUUAGUCACCGGAAAUUUUAACCAGAAGCUUAUAAAACUAAAAAGGAGGGAUAUGAUAUAAUGGUUGUCUAAGUUUUUCAGAAUUUCCCAUACCAUAGGAAUUAUUUGGUAGUAUCAUUCCGCAGUAAUGUGCUUUAAUAAAGCACGAUCAAAACUACCAAAUUAUUCCAGUUUGAAAGUAUAAAUAAAUCAAAUUUCAAUAAAAGAUGGUUACAUAACAUAGUGUUUAGCAUGAGUGUUAGGUUACGUAAUUGGACGGAAUAAUGAUCUACUUAGUCUUUUAGAAAACCAUUUAAAAAUGAUAAACAUGCAAUUUCUGAAGAAUUUAGUUCUUAGGAAUGCAAUAAAUUAUUAAUUAGACGAAGUAAUAUUUCAAUUCAUAAUUUUUUCGCAUGAUUUGAGCGUCAUAUUUUUUUCUUUUGAAUAUUUUACAUCAGAGAAGAAAUUGUCUUCGGAAGGCUAUAAACAUGAGCCAUAUUAUAUGACUGAUUAUAAAUGUGACUGAUCCUUUUUAAAUCAAAUCUUGAUUUUAAUAGGACUAGACGUAUGUAUGUACAUAUGUAGCCAUACAUGCAUAUGUGACCUUGCGACUGCACACAUCGCUCCUAACAAUUAAACUGUGUAUCAAAUAAUGAAGGGACUAAAUGUCAUUGAAUUGCAGAAUAACAAUGAGUAUUUUUCACAACUGUACACGAUGAAUAUGUGCGAAUUGACAUAUACAUAUUUAGUUCCUGGAGUGCGAUAUGUGAUAUGCAAUGUCAUAUGUACAAAGGAGCUACAUUUGGUAAUUUUGUAUUCAUUUAUUCUCAGGAUUUAUAUAGAUUUUAAUGCAUGCAGACACAUUUUUAUUUAUUUUGUAGACACAGAAAUAGAAACAGGUUGACAUAAUGUUUGAGUUCAUUUGCUUUAUGUAAUUUUAUGAUUAUGACCAUAUUCUUAUUUAUCAUUCAUUGUGUAUGUAAUUCAGAUUUUGACUGUAGUUGACCAUUUUCUCAACUUUGCCAGCCAAUGCGCUCAGUUUAAUUUGCCUAUCUAUCAGCAGUUCAAUUCUCUUUUCCAGUCCAAAUCAUUCACUCUGCUCAAGUUUAUUUUUACUUUUGUCCUUUUUGUAAUAUUCCAUUACCUUGAGCAGUCUCCUAUAAAAGGAGGUCAUUUCUCCCUCCUCGCUGUCAUUCUCUUUUUGUACGUACCUUGACCACGUCACUUUGUCACUCAAGUCCACAAGUCUCAAUUUCGCCCCAAUUUGUACAUCAAUAUAUUUUUAACUGAAGUAAAUGUGACUAUUUUGAUUGUGAUAACUUGUGCUCAUCAUCACGACUGAUUCUCAUCUCCAACACUCAUCCACCACUCAUUCAUCCCCUGCUUCCACGGUCACCUACGGCAACAUUUCCAUCCAACGAGUUCAUUCACACAAAUCCCCACACAUAAUGAGAUGAAAUACGUAUGUACUAUGCACUAGAGAAUAGGAAUGGGUAUACGAUUCUAAGUAUGUAGUAAUAGACAGAUUUUCUAAUUGAACAAGGUUUAAUAUACUGUCCAGGGUUUCCAAAUCGAGAUACUUUGAUUUUAAUGGACCUACUACAUACUAAUGUACAAAGGAUGAUUUAAUCGGGGUAAUUUUGAGAAUUUGAAAUUUUGAGACAUUUCUUUUUUCAUCUCCAUUUUUACAUAGAUGAUACUUCUAAAUUUCGAAAUUUGUAUCUAUUUAAAUCCUACAUUUCUUGAAUCCUAAUUUUAAUCCGAAUUACAUCCAUAAAUCACUACAACUAACUAUAUAUCCUGUCUAAUUUGAGAGAAAGAUGAGAGAGAAAACUUGUAGUUGAGUUAAAUAUAAUAAGUAAAUGGUAAAGGCCUUCACAGGAAUCAAUUCUGACGAUCAUAAUUUUAAUCGAUUAUCCCAAAAUAAUUGUUCCUUUGAAUAAUUAUAAAUAAAAUAAUCGAUUUAGAUUAUACUCGUCAGAAUCGAUUCCUGUGAAAGAAAACCCUUAGUGAAAGAUAUUCGUAGACUGGAAGGUAUGCUGGUGACUGACUGACUGAGUGCCAUUUACAGUUUUUACGUAUACUUUGAUUGGUUGAUGGAUGGUGCGUUUUUUUCAUAAGUAAGUGCGGAGUAGUAAUUAAAAAUAUAAGAUUGUUUUUAGACUUUACAUACACAAGUAAUUCACAGAUUUACCUUUAAGAGAGAACCAGAAAUGAUCGCGUUUACAGUUUUUCAAAUUGACGCAGAUUCGCGAAUACUCGCGAAUUUGCCAAUUUCUAAACUGUACUGACUUGAUCAUUCCUUCGUCUUAUUUACAAUUUACAUAUUUACAAUCUUAAAUUAUGUAUCUAAUUCAGAUCAAAUUUAUAUUUUGACUGAUCCAGACACGUUUAUACAUAUUUACAUGAUGAAUCACAAUUCACUUUUUUAGAGCCUCCGAGCGUAGUACGAUGAACAAUGAUAAUAAUUAAUUGCUACACGUUAAAUAGUACGAUCAUGAACAUCAGUUAAUAUGUAGUUUUAGUUAGUAUUUAAUGAUGAACACUAACAAUAUAUUGCAUUAUCUAGGCUAAGAAAUUGAGUCGAUUAAGUGAUGUAAAUUAAUACGUCAUUUUUUAACUGUGUAUUUAAAGUGCUGAGCAUUUAGUGUGGUCUAACUACAUAUAUAAUUACUAAUCAACUACACAUGUACAUAUCUACAUA